AGAGUUUGAUCAUGGCUCAGAACGAACGCUGGCGGCAGGCUUAACACAUGCAAGUCGAACGCUCGUAGCAAUACGGGAGUGGCGGACGGGUGAGUAACGCGUGGGAACGUGCCCUGAGGUACGGAAUAACUGCGGGAAACUGCAGCUAAUACCGUAUGAGCCCCGCAAGGGGGAAAGAUUUAUCGCCUUGGGAGCGGCCCGCGUCGGAUUAGCUAGUUGGUGGGGUAACGGCCUACCAAGGCUUCGAUCCGUAGCUGGUCUGAGAGGACGAUCAGCCACACUGGGACUGAGACACGGCCCAGACUCCUACGGGAGGCAGCAGUGGGGAAUCUUGCGCAAUGGGGGCAACCCUGACGCAGCCAUGCCGCGUGAAUGAUGAAGGCCUUAGGGUUGUAAAGUUCUUUUGCCCGUGACGAUGAUGACGGUAACGGGAGAAUAAGCUCCGGCUAACUUCGUG
This 457-nucleotide ribosomal RNA is filed under the name uncultured bacterium. RNAcentral's name for it is "bacterial SSU rRNA". It matches the Rfam family "Bacterial small subunit ribosomal RNA", at positions 8 to 507 of the family's 1533-position model. The record is from RNAcentral.